RNAcentral lists this ribosomal RNA (513 nucleotides) under uncultured bacterium. RNAcentral describes it as "partial 16S ribosomal RNA". It matches the Rfam family "Bacterial small subunit ribosomal RNA", at positions 29 to 523 of the family's 1533-position model. The record is from RNAcentral.
AACGAACGCUGGCGGCGUGCCUAACACAUGCAAGUCGAGCGCGAAAAGGGCAACCUGAGUAGAGCGGCGCACGGGUGCGUAACACGUGGGUAAUCUGCCUUGGAGUCGAGGAUAACUUUCCGAAAGGUUAGCUAAUACUCGGUAAGCUUACGGAGACUUCGGUCUUUGUGAGAAAAGUAGGCCUCUAUUUAUAAGCUUACGCUUCGAGAUGAGCCCGCGGCCCAUCAGCUAGUUGGCGGUGUAACGGACCACCAAGGCAACGACGGGUAGCUGGUCUGAGAGGACGAUCAGCCACACUGGAACUGAGACCCGGUCCAGACUCCUACGGGAGGCAGCAGUGGGGAAUUUUCCACAAUGGGCGAAAGCCUGAUGGAGCAACGCGGCGUGUGUGAUGAAGGUUUUCGGAUCGUAAAGCACUUUCGACCGGGACGAAAAACCUCUGGCUAACAUCCAGGGGCCUGACGGUACCGGGAGAAGAAGCACCGGCUAACUCUGUGCCAGCCGCCGCAGUAA